Molecule: ribosomal RNA, 292 nt
Filed under: uncultured bacterium
Lineage: Bacteria
Description: partial 16S ribosomal RNA
Rfam family: Bacterial small subunit ribosomal RNA
Source: RNAcentral
GUGCCAGCCGCCGCGGUAAUACGUAGGUGACAAGCGUUGUCCGGAUUUACUGGGCGUAAAGAGCGCGCAGGCGGUCGAUCAAGUCGAGUGUGAAAGCCCCCGGCUCAACUGGGGAGGGUCAUUCGAUACUGAUCGACUCGAAGGCAGGAGAGGGUAGUGGAAUUCCCGGUGUAGUGGUGAAAUGCGUAGAUAUCGGGAGGAACACCAGUGGCGAAGGCGACUACCUGGCCUGUUCUUGACGCUGAGGCGCGAAAGCUAGGGGAGCAAACGGGAUUAGAAACCCUUGUAGUCC